GUGCUCACUUCGGCAGCCCAUAUACUAACAUUGGAACAAGACGGAGAAGAUUAGCAUGGCCCCUGGGCAAGGAUGACAUGCAAAUUCAUGAUGCGUUCCAUAUGUUU
Nycticebus coucang (slow loris) is the source of this 107-nucleotide small nuclear RNA. The record is from RefSeq and is a predicted model, not a curated record. NCBI's taxonomy places the organism in Eukaryota, Metazoa, Chordata, Mammalia, Primates, Lorisidae.